UACGGAGGGUGCAAGCGUUAUCCGGAUUCACUGGGUUUAAAGGGUGCGUAGGUGGGCAGGUAAGUCCGUGGUGAAAUCUCUGAGCUUAACUCAGAAACUGCCGUGGAUACUAUUUGUCUUGAAUGUUGUGGAGGUGAGCGGAAUAUGUCAUGUAGCGGUGAAAAUGCUUAGAUAUGACAUAGAACACCAAUUGCGAAGGCAGCU
RNAcentral lists this ribosomal RNA (204 nucleotides) under uncultured bacterium. Its description in RNAcentral is "partial 16S ribosomal RNA". It matches the Rfam family "Bacterial small subunit ribosomal RNA", at positions 524 to 726 of the family's 1533-position model. The record is from RNAcentral.